GAGUUUGAUCUUGGCUCAGAUUGAACGCUGGCGGCAUGCCUUACACAUGCAAGUCGAACGGCAGCACGGGAGCUUGCUCCUGGUGGCGAGUGGCGAACGGGUGAGUAAUGCAUCGGAACGUAUCCUGGAGUGGGGGAUAACGUAGCGAAAGUUACGCUAAUACCGCAUAUUCUGUGAGCAGGAAGCGGGGGACCUUCGGGCCUCGCGCUCUUGGAGCGGCCGAUGUCGGAUUAGCUAGUUGGUGAGGUAAAGGCUCACCAAGGCGACGAUCCGUAGCAGGUCUGAGAGGAUGAUCUGCCACACUGGAACUGAGACACGGUCCAGACUCCUACGGGAGGCAGCAGUGGGAUUUGGACAAUGGGGGCAACCCUGAUCCAGCCAUGCCGCGUGAGUGAAGAAGGCC
RNAcentral lists this ribosomal RNA (403 nucleotides) under bacterium enrichment culture clone ALO1_GLFRUDD03FSTDL. Its description in RNAcentral is "bacterial SSU rRNA". It matches the Rfam family "Bacterial small subunit ribosomal RNA", at positions 9 to 416 of the family's 1533-position model. The record is from RNAcentral.